GGUUAAGCGACUAAGCGUACACGGUGGAUGCCCUGGCAGUCAGAGGCGAUGAAGGACGUGCUAAUCUGCGAUAAGCGCCGGUAAGGUGAUAUGAACCGUUAUAACCGGCGAUUUCCGAAUGGGGAAACCCAGUGUGAUUCGUCACACUAUCAUUAACUGAAUCCAUAGGUUAAUGAGGCGAACCGGGGGAACUGAAACAUCUAAGUACCCCGAGGAAAAGAAAUCAACCGAGAUUCCCCCAGUAGCGGCGAGCGAACGGGGAGGA
RNAcentral lists this ribosomal RNA (265 nucleotides) under Salmonella enterica subsp. enterica serovar Heidelberg. Its description in RNAcentral is "partial 23S ribosomal RNA". It matches the Rfam family "Bacterial large subunit ribosomal RNA", at positions 1 to 266 of the family's 2925-position model. The record is from RNAcentral. Lineage: Bacteria; Pseudomonadati; Pseudomonadota; Gammaproteobacteria; Enterobacterales; Enterobacteriaceae. RNAcentral also lists the same sequence under 8 other names.